This 199-nucleotide long non-coding RNA is filed under the name Elaeis guineensis (African oil palm). Its description in RNAcentral is "long non-coding RNA (EGUI_LNC055552)". Lineage: Eukaryota; Viridiplantae; Streptophyta; Magnoliopsida; Arecales; Arecaceae. The record is from RNAcentral.
AAUAAAUUUUGCAAUCAUAUAUCUUGGUAUGAUUAUGUAUUCAUAUGAGUUGAUAUGAAUUGAUGCAUAUAUGAUAGGAUCAAAUAUUCAAUAGAUAUAUUGCUGAAUUUUAUAUGUUCAUAUAAGGAUGUGUAUGAGAUCGAGAAAACCCUCUUAAAAAUAAUAUUUAGUCAUAAUGAUAGCAAAUAUGGGUUAACCA